GGGAGUAUAGCUCAGUGGUAGAGCACAUGCUUAGCACACACAAGGUCCUAGGUUCAAUCCCCAGCACCUCCA
Molecule: transfer RNA, 72 nt
Filed under: Camelus bactrianus (Bactrian camel)
Lineage: Eukaryota; Metazoa; Chordata; Mammalia; Artiodactyla; Camelidae
Also listed under: 2 other names
Rfam family: tRNA
About the family: Transfer RNA (tRNA) molecules are approximately 80 nucleotides in length. Their secondary structure includes four short double-helical elements and three loops (D, anti-codon, and T loops).
Source: Rfam by way of RNAcentral